This 1302-nucleotide long non-coding RNA is filed under the name Medicago truncatula (barrel medic). Its description in RNAcentral is "lncRNA gene45701". Lineage: Eukaryota; Viridiplantae; Streptophyta; Magnoliopsida; Fabales; Fabaceae. The record is from RNAcentral.
AUAUGCUUCCAUGGACUAUACAUACACUUUCAUAGCUUCUGGAGAAGAGAUAACAACAAGGUGUUUCUUCAUCAAUGAUUUGUGAAGCAAUGUUCUUCAAGGAGGAAGUAAUUUGUUCAUCAAGGAUCUUGUUGACUUUGUUCAUGAAUUUAGGCAUCAAUUGUGCUUUUCACACCCCCUCCCCACACGCACAAAUGUAUAAUCAACUUCAAAUGUACUGAUUAAUUUUAGUUUUUUUAUUUUAUAUUUUAUUAGGAUGUUAUUAUAUUGUGCUUAGUAGUAUACUAGUAUACAUUAAUAGAUAAUAAAUCAAUGAUUAAUUUUGAAAGGAAAUAUUAAAGAGUCCCUUUUACUACUUAACAUUUUUGAUUUGCCUUGUUUUCUUCAUAAGCACAUGGAUUUGGAAGAGACAGCAACGUCAAUGGUAAAUCUGAUUCAGAAUGGUAGCAAAAGGGGUCAGCAAGCAUAUAUAUAUAUAGCUAGGUAGCUAGUGACAUAGGGGAACACGAAUGACAUAAACACAGUGAUCAGAUCAGUGCUUAUCUAGCAGCAGCACUGCUUUUUCUUUAUCAUCAAAUCAUCACCAUAGUCGAUAAUUACAUCUUCAUUACUUGCACGCAAAUGUAUAGUUUUCAAAUAUCAAUGCAACUCAUGUAUCUAAAUCAAACUCUAUAAAGUCAUAAUAAUUCUUACACUCUUGAAUUAUGGCAUCAUCAAUUGUCAUGAAUGAGUUAUAAUUGUUUUAAAAUUUAAAGUAUAUGGUAAACCCUCACAUUGGCUUGAACCACCUGAGUGACUCACCCAUUAACAAUUUAUGCAUUGAUGCCGAAAAUCAAUCUUUGAAUACUGUAUAAUGCAAUUGAUUGAUGCUCCCUUGAUGUGUUUUUGAAUUUAUUUAUACAAAAACUAAGUAACCUAUUGCAUUAGUAAUGGUGGAGAGCAAGAUAUCUCUAACUUGAGGGCUCAGUUGGGAGAGAAGUAUUGAGGACCAAUCCUACAAAAAAUCAUGAUUAUUUUGAAAUUGAAAUUGAAAUUCUUGACAUAUUGAUUAAACCCUUCAAAUAAAAUUUUAAUAUUUCGUUCGUAACGAAUAUAAGCAACAAAAUACAUUUUUCUAAAAUAAACAAAACGGUAUUAAUGCGAGUACGAUGGGUACUUAAACCCACUACAUAGUUAUGAAGAAAACAAGACUUCGAGUUAAUCCGACACCGGAUGAUAAAUAAGAAGCCCCAAUUUUUUAUUUAUUUUUGCCAAUAGUCAUUGCCAAGACUUGCUUUCGAUCGAAUGAACUACCUCAUUGAC